This is a long non-coding RNA of Eurytemora carolleeae, 209 nucleotides long. RefSeq lists it as uncharacterized. The record is from RefSeq and is a predicted model, not a curated record. The transcript has 3 exons. Lineage: Eukaryota; Metazoa; Arthropoda; Copepoda; Calanoida; Temoridae.
AAAUUUAAAAAUGUUUUAUUGUUUUGUAUAGGCAUUAGAACUAAACGAAGUGCAUAAAGAACAAGUCGUGUCUUUUCUUAGAUUUGCCAAAUAUCAACGAGCUCAAUGUUUGAAAUCAGUUCGAGCUGUUAUUCAAGAUACAAAGGAUCCUAGAUUGACAGAUGAUACAUAUACUCUAGAUGAAGUAGAAGAAACUAUGACAGAUGAUA